UCCUACGGGAGGCAGCAGUGAGGAAUAUUGGACAAUGGGCGCAAGCCUGAUCCAGCCAUGCCGCGUGCAGGAUGACGGUCCUAUGGAUUGUAAACUGCUUUUAUACGAGAAGAAACAGUUCUACGUGUAGAGACUUGACGGUAUCGUAAGAAUAAGGAUCGGCUAACUCCGUGCCAGCAGCCGCGGUAAUACGGAGGAUCCAAGCGUUAUCCGGAAUCAUUGGGUUUAAAGGGUCCGUAGGCGGUCAGAUAAGUCAGUGGUGAAAGCCCAUCGCUCAACGGUGGAACGGCCAUUGAUACUGUCUGACUUGAAUUAUUAGGAAGUAACUAGAAUAUGUAGUGUAGCGGUGGAAUGCUUAGAGAUUACAUGGAAUACCAAUUGCGAAGGCAGGUUACUACUAAUUGAUUGACGCUGAUGGACGAAAGCGUGGGUGGCGAACAGGAUUAGAUACCCUGGUAGUCCACGCCGUAAACGAUGGAUACUAGCUGUUUGGGAGCAAUUUCAGUGGCUAAGCGAAAGUGAUAAGUAUCCCACCUGGGGAGUACGUUCGCAAGAAUGAAACUCAAAGGAAUUGACGGGGGCCCGCACAAGCGGUGGAGCAUGUGGUUUAAUUCGAUGAUACGCGAGGAACCUUACCAAGGCUUAAAUGUAGAUUGACCGGUUUGGAAACAGACUUUUCGCAAGACAAUUUACAAGGUGCUGCAUGGUUGUCGUCAGCUCGUGCCGUGAGGUGUCAGGUUAAGUCCUAUAACGAGCGCAACCCCUGUUGUUAGUUGCCAGCGAGUCAUGUCGGGAACUCUAACAAGACUGCCAGUGCAAACUGUGAGGAAGGUGGGGAUGACGUCAAAUCAUCACGGCCCUUACGCCUUGGGCUACACACGUGCUACAAUGGCCGGUACAGAGGGUUGCCAAGCCGCGAGGUGGAGCUAAUCCCAGAAAACCGAUCGUAGUCCGGAUCGCAGUCUGCAACUCGACUGCGUGAAGUCGGAAUCGCUAGUAAUCGCGAAUCAGAAUGUCGCGGUGAAUACGUUCCCGGGCCUUGUACACACCGCCAUCGGAUCCC
This 1063-nucleotide ribosomal RNA is filed under the name uncultured Flavobacterium sp. RNAcentral's name for it is "bacterial SSU rRNA". It matches the Rfam family "Bacterial small subunit ribosomal RNA", at positions 337 to 1405 of the family's 1533-position model. Lineage: Bacteria; Pseudomonadati; Bacteroidota; Flavobacteriia; Flavobacteriales; Flavobacteriaceae. The record is from RNAcentral.